AUUGAACGCUGGCGGCAGGCCUAACACAUGCAAGUCGAACGGUAGCACAGAGAGCUUGCUCUCGGGUGACGAGUGGCGGACGGGUGAGUAAUGUCUGGGAAACUGCCCGAUGGAGGGGGAUAACUACUGGAAACGGUAGCUAAUACCGCAUAACGUCGCAAGACCAAAGUGGGGGACCUUCGGGCCUCACACCAUCGGAUGUGCCCAGAUGGGAUUAGCUAGUAGGUGGGGUAAUGGCUCACCUAGGCGACGAUCCCUAGCUGGUCUGAGAGGAUGACCAGCCACCCUGGAACUGAGACACGGUCCAGACUCCUACGGGAGGCAGCAGUGGGGAAUAUUGCACAAUGGGCGCAAGCCUGAUGCAGCCAUGCCGCGUGUAUGAAGAAGGCCUUCGGGUUGUAAAGUACUUUCAGCGGGGAGGAAGGCAGUGAAGUUAAUAACUUCACCGAUUGACGUUACCCGCAGAAGAAGCACCGGCUAACUCCGUGCCAGCAGCCGCCGUAA
Molecule: ribosomal RNA, 504 nt
Filed under: uncultured bacterium
Lineage: Bacteria
Description: partial 16S ribosomal RNA
Rfam family: Bacterial small subunit ribosomal RNA
Source: RNAcentral